Molecule: ribosomal RNA, 624 nt
Filed under: uncultured bacterium
Lineage: Bacteria
Description: bacterial SSU rRNA
Rfam family: Bacterial small subunit ribosomal RNA (bases 1-530)
Source: RNAcentral
CCUACGGGAGGCAGCAGUGGGGAAUAUUGGACAAUGGGCGAAAGCCUGAUCCAGCAAUGCCGCGUGAGUGAUGAAGGCCUUAGGGUCGUAAAGCUCUUUUACCAGGGAUGAUAAUGACAGUACCUGGAGAAUAAGCUCCGGCUAACUCCGUGCCAGCAGCCGCGGUAAUACGGAGGGAGCUAGCGUUGUUCGGAAUUACUGGGCGUAAAGCGUGCGUAGGCGGUUAUUCAAGUCAGAGGUGAAAGCCCGGGGCUCAACCCCGGAACGGCCUUUGAAACUAGAUAACUAGAAUCUUGGAGAGGUCAGUGGAAUUCCGAGUGUAGAGGUGAAAUUCGUAGAUAUUCGGAAGAACACCAGUGGCGAAGGCGACUGACUGGACAAGUAUUGACGCUGAGGUACGAAAGCGUGGGGAGCAAACAGGAUUAGAUACCCUGGUAGUCCACGCCGUAAACGAUAGAUAACUAGCUGUACCGGACUACGUUGGUUGUUUGGGGUGGUCGCGACGCGUACGACUAUUAAGUUAGUCCGUCCGUCGGGUAGGUACGGUCGCGAGAAGUAAACUAACUAAAGUAGUAGUAGACGGUCGUGUAGUUAGUUGUACGACGACGACGACGAGGGAGGAGG